CGCGCAGGUGGUUUCUUAAGUCUGAUGUGAAAGCCCACGGCUCAACCGUGGAGGGUCAUUGGAAACUGGGAGACUUGAGUGCAGAAGAGGAUAGUGGAAUUCCAAGUGUAGCGGUGAAAUGCGUAGAGAUUUGGAGGAACACCAGUGGCGAAGGCGACUGUCUGGUCUGUAACUGACACUGAGGCGCGAAAGCGUGGGUAGCAAACA
RNAcentral lists this ribosomal RNA (207 nucleotides) under uncultured bacterium. RNAcentral describes it as "partial 16S ribosomal RNA". It matches the Rfam family "Bacterial small subunit ribosomal RNA", at positions 568 to 774 of the family's 1533-position model. The record is from RNAcentral.